This 441-nucleotide ribosomal RNA is filed under the name uncultured bacterium. Its description in RNAcentral is "partial 16S ribosomal RNA". It matches the Rfam family "Bacterial small subunit ribosomal RNA", at positions 338 to 795 of the family's 1533-position model. The record is from RNAcentral.
CCUACUUGUGUCCGCCGUGGGGCCUCUUGCCCCCUGGGGGCCCCCCUGCUGCAGCGACGCCGCGUGAGUGAAGAAGUAUUUCGGUAUGUAAAGCUCUAUCAGCAGGGAAGAAGAAAGAUGGUACCUGACUAAGAAGCCCCGGCUAACUACGUGCCAGCAGCCGCGGUAAUACGUAGGGGGCAAGCGUUAUCCGGAUUUACUGGGUGUAAAGGGAGCGUAGACGGCUGUGCAAGUCUGAAGUGAAAGCCCAGGGCUCAACCCUGGGACUGCUUUGGAAACUGUGGAGCUAGAGUGCUGGAGAGGUAAGUGGAAUUCCUAGUGUAGCGGUGAAAUGCGUAGAUAUUAGGAGGAACACCAGUUGCGAAGGCGGCUCUCUGGACUGUAACUGACACUGAGGCACGAAAGCGUGGGGAGCAAACAGGAUUAGAUACCCGUGUAGUC